RNAcentral lists this ribosomal RNA (502 nucleotides) under Xanthochorema caledon. RNAcentral describes it as "partial 16S ribosomal RNA". Lineage: Eukaryota; Metazoa; Arthropoda; Insecta; Trichoptera; Hydrobiosidae. The record is from RNAcentral.
UAUUUAAAGUCUAAUCUGCUCACUGAAUUAAAAUUUAAAGAGCCGCAGUAUUUUAACUGUGCAAAGGUAGCAUAAUAAUUUGUUUUUUAAUUGAAAACUAGAAUGAAUGAUUGAACGAGAUAUAUACUGUCUCAAUUUUAAUUUAAUAUAAAUUAAUUUUUUAGUUAAAAAGCUAAAAUUGAUUUAAAAGACGAGAAGACCCUAUAGAUUUUUAUAUAAUUAUCAAUUAAUUUAUAUAUAUAUAAAUUUAUUUAUAUUUAUUGAUAAUUGUAUUUUAUUGGGGUAAUAAAAAAAUAAAAAAAACUUUUAUUAAAUAAAAACAUAAAUUAAUGAAAAUUUGAUCCAAAUUUAAUGAUUAAAAGAUUAAAUUACCUUAGGGAUAACAGCGUAAUUUUAAUUUUAAGUUCUUAUUGAAAUUAAAGAUUGCGACCUCGAUGUUGGAUUAAGAAAAAUUUUAAAAGUAGAUUUUUAAAUUUUAGGUCUGUUCGACCUUUAAAAUCUU